UGGGGAAUUUUGGACAAUGGGGGCAACCCUGAUCCAGCCAUCCCGCGUGUGCGAUGAAGGCCUUCGGGUUGUAAAGCACUUUUGGCAGGGAAGAAACAGCCUGGGAUAAUACCCCGGGCGACUGACGGUACCUGCAGAAUAAGCACCGGCUAACUACGUGCCGGCAGCCGCGGUAAUACGUAGGGUGCAAGCGUUAAUCGGAAUUACUGGGCGUAAAGCGUGCGCAGGCGGUUCGGAAAGAAAGGUGUGAAAUCCCAGGGCUUAACCUUGGAACUGCACUUUUAACUACCGAGCUAGAGUACGUCAGAGGGGGGUAGAAUUCCACGUGUAGCAGUGAAAUGCGUAGAGAUGUGGAGGAAUACCGAUGGCGAAGGCAGCCCCCUGGGAUGAUACUGACGCUCAUGCACGAAAGCGUGGGGAGCAAACAGGAUUAGAUACCCUGGUAGUCCACGCCCUAAACGAUGUCAACUAGCUGUUGGGGUUUAUUAACCUUAGUAGCGCAGCUAACGCGUGAAGUUGACCGCCUGGGGAGUACGGUCGCAAGA
This 545-nucleotide ribosomal RNA is filed under the name uncultured bacterium. RNAcentral describes it as "partial 16S ribosomal RNA". It matches the Rfam family "Bacterial small subunit ribosomal RNA", at positions 355 to 893 of the family's 1533-position model. The record is from RNAcentral.